This 332-nucleotide ribosomal RNA is filed under the name uncultured bacterium. RNAcentral's name for it is "bacterial SSU rRNA". It matches the Rfam family "Bacterial small subunit ribosomal RNA", at positions 150 to 496 of the family's 1533-position model. The record is from RNAcentral.
CGGGAAACCGAUGCUAAUACCGCAUAGACCACGAUAGCACAUGCUAAUGAGGUCAAAGGAGCAAUCCGCUUAUGGAGGGGCUCGCGUCCCAUUAGGUAGAUGGUGAGGUAACGGCCCACCAUGCCGACGAUGGGUAGCCGGACUGAGAGGUUGAACGGCCACACUGGGACUGAGACACGGCCCAGACUCCUACGGGAGGCAGCAGUGGGGAAUAUUGGGCAAUGGGGGAAACCCUGACCCAGCAACGCCGCGUGAAGGAAGAAGGUUUUCGGAUUGUAAACUUCUGUCCUAAGGGAAGAAAGAAAUGACGGUACCUUAGGAGGAAGCCCCGG